This 453-nucleotide ribosomal RNA is filed under the name Triticum aestivum (bread wheat). RNAcentral describes it as "partial small subunit ribosomal RNA". The record is from RNAcentral. Lineage: Eukaryota; Viridiplantae; Streptophyta; Magnoliopsida; Poales; Poaceae.
AUGCACCCCUUCAAAACCUGUGUUAGAUGUACCCACGUGGCAAUUGAGGUAUCCUCCUAUGAAGAGCUUCUUGUCAAUAGGUACACUCCUAACCAUGUCCUCCAGGCCUUCGUAGCACCCCUCUUGGUGUUCUCAUUGUGGUCCACUUUCGGGGCAUACUCGUUGAUAACAUUGAGAAUUAAGUCCCCAACAACCAGCUUGACCAGGAUAACCCGGUCCUCACGUCUCCUUACGUCGACAACUCCAUACUUGAGGCUAUUGUUGAUCAAGAUGCCUUCUCCAUUUCUGUUUGCAGUCGUCCCCGUGUACCAUAGCUUGAAGCCGGUAUUCUCCACCUCCUUUGCCUUCUGUCCCCUCCAUUUGGUUUCUUGGACGCAAAGGAUAUCAACAACUCUCCUCACCGCUGUAUCUACUAGCUCCCGAAGCAUACCUGCCACCUGUCAGGGGCCAUAA